GCCAAACCAGCCCUGGACCCCCCCCCCCCAAAAAAACAAAAAAAAUCCUGGGGUGCUUCCCCUCCCCUCCCCCACCUCUGUCCGUGUCUGCCGGGGGGGAGGGGCCGCGUUUGGGAAAACACGAAAAUCUCGUUUUUACUCAUUUCACCCCUUUUUGUGCCACCUCGUGGAUUUUUGGGGGGUGGGAAAAUCCUGGGGACCCCCGAAAACAGCUGGGGAGGGGGUGAAGUUUGGGGACCCCCCCCAAAAAAACAACCAAGAUUUGGGGACCCCCCUGAGCCGUGCCUGACUUGAUGGAACGGUGCCCUGGGCAGGGUAAAAAUUGGGGAAAAUGGGGAAAAAAUGGGAAUUUAGGGGGAAAAAAUGGGGGAAAUAGGAAAAAAAUGGGAAUUUAGGGGGAAAAAAUGGGAAUUUGGGGUAAAAAUGAGGAAAAAAAUGGGAAUUGGGAGGGUAAAAAUGAGGGAAAAUUGAAUUGGAUAAGAAUGGGGAAAAAUGGAAAAUUUGGGGUAAAAAAUGGGGGAAAAUGGGAAUUGGGGGAAAAAAUGAGAAAUUGGGAAUUGGGGGGGGAAAUGAGAAAAAAGGGAAGGGGGUAAAAAUAAGGUAGAAAUGGGAAUUAGGGGGUAAAAAAUGGGAAAUGGGAAUUGCGGGGUAAAAAUGGAAAAUGGGAACUGGGUAAAAAAUGGGGAAAAUGGGAAAUAAAAAAGAGGAAAAAUGGGAAUUGAGAGGUAAAAAAUGAGGAAAAAAAUGGGAAUUGGGUAAAAAAUGUGGUAAAACUGGGAAUUGGGGGCAUGGAAAGGGAAAAAAAUGAGGAUAUGGGUAAAAAAAAAUGGCAAUUGGGUGGGGAAAAAUAGAAAAAACUUUGGGGAUUCCCCCAAAAAAAACCCCCAGGACCAAACCGAGCCCACCCCAAGCUCCUGGGACACCCCAAAACCCAACCAGGGCAAAAAUGUGACCCCAAAUCCCCCCAAAAACCCAAACAGUGCCAGCAGGGAAGAACAAAAACCUUUUUUAUUUCACCCAAAAGCAGCCGGGCCUGGCCCCAUCCUCGGGAUUUUGGGGGGGUUCCCAGUGGAUUUUGGAGCUCCCCGGGGAUUUUGGGGGGUUCCCCGUGGGUUUUGGGGGGUUCCCCUGUGAUUUCUGGGGCUCCCUGCGGGUUUUGGGGCUCCCUGUGGAUUUUGGGGUUCCCCACGGGUUUUGGGGUCCCUCCGUGGAUUUUGAGGCUCCCCACAGGUUUCAGGGCUCGCUGUAGAUUUCGGGGUUCCCCCGCGGAUUUUUUGGGGUUCCCCGCGAGUUUUGGGGUUCCCUGUGAAUUUUGGCGGUUCCUCAUGGAUUUUGGGGUUCCCUGCACCUGCUCCCGGGGGUUUUUGGGGUUCCCAUGGAUUUUGGGGUCCCCCAGCUGCUCCAUUUUCGGGGUUCAGGCGUGCAGGGCCCUCCCGCAGGGUAUUUUUGGGGUUCCCGGUGGAUUUUGGGGUCCCCCAGCUGCUCCAUUUUCGGGGUUCAGGCUGCAGGGCCCUCCCACGGGGUAUUUUUGGGGUUCCCGGUGGAUUUUGGGGUCCCCCAGCUGCUCCAUUUUCGGGGUUCAGGCUGCAGGGCCCUCCCACGGGGUAUUUUUGGGGUUCCCGGUGG
Long non-coding RNA from Chloebia gouldiae (Gouldian finch), 1626 nucleotides. Lineage: Eukaryota; Metazoa; Chordata; Aves; Passeriformes; Passeridae. The record is from Ensembl.